AAUUCGCCCUUGUGCCAGCAGCCGCGGUGAUACGGAGGGUGCAAGCGUUAAUCGGAAUUACUGGGCGUAAAGCGCACGCAGGCGGUCUGUCAAGUCGGAUGUGAAAUCCCCGGGCUCAACCUGGGAACUGCAUCCGAAACUGGCAGGCUAGAGUCUUGUAGAGGGGGGUAGAAUUCCAGGUGUAGCGGUGAAAUGCGUAGAGAUCUGGAGGAAUACCGGUGGCGAAGGCGGCCCCCUGGACAAAGACUGACGCUCAGGUGCGAAAGCGUGAGGAGCAAACAGGAUUAGAUACCCUGGUAGUCCACGCCGUAAACGAUGUCGACUUGGAGGUUGUGCCCUUGAGGCGUGGCUUCCGGAGCUAACGCGUUAAGUCGACCGCCUGGGGAGUACGGCCGCAAGGUUAAAACUCAAAUGAAUUGACGGGGGCCCGCACAAGCGGUGGAGCAUGUGGUUUAAUUCGAUGCAACGCGAAGAACCUUACCUACUCUUGACAUCCAGAGAACUUAGCAGAGAUGCUUUGGUGCCUUCGGGAACUCUGAGACAGGUGCUGCAUGGCUGUCGUCAGCUCGUGUUGUGAAAUGUUGGGUUAAGUCCCGCAACGAGCGCAACCCUUAUCCUUUGUUGCCAGCGGUUAGGCCGGGAACUCAAAGGAGACUGCCAGUGAUAAACUGGAGGAAGGUGGGGAUGACGUCAAGUCAUCAUGGCCCUUACGAGUAGGGCUACACACGUGCUACAAUGGCAUAUACAAAGAGAAGCGACCUCGCGAGAGCAAGCGGACCUCAUAAAGUAUGUCGUAGUCCGGAUUGGAGUCUGCAACUCGACUCCAUGAAGUCGGAAUCGCUAGUAAUCGUGGAUCAGAAUGCCACGGUGAAUACGUUCCCGGGCCUUGUACACACCGCCCGUCACACCAUGGGAGUGGGUUGCAAAAGAAGUAGGUAGCUUAACCUUCGGGAGGGCGCU
This 960-nucleotide ribosomal RNA is filed under the name uncultured bacterium. Its description in RNAcentral is "bacterial SSU rRNA". It matches the Rfam family "Bacterial small subunit ribosomal RNA", at positions 495 to 1454 of the family's 1533-position model. The record is from RNAcentral.